This 455-nucleotide ribosomal RNA is filed under the name Hysterangium crassum. RNAcentral's name for it is "mitochondrial SSU rRNA". It matches the Rfam family "Bacterial small subunit ribosomal RNA", at positions 409 to 928 of the family's 1533-position model. The record is from RNAcentral. Lineage: Eukaryota; Fungi; Basidiomycota; Agaricomycetes; Hysterangiales; Hysterangiaceae.
UGGAAUCAUGAGUGUGUCACUCAUGACUCGAAUAAGGAAAAAUAAUGAUAACACUUAUUAGAGUAGUCUUGUCCAAAACUGGUGCCAGAAGACUCGGUAAUGCCAGAGAGACAAGCGUUAAUCAUCUUGAUCAGGCGUAAAGGGUUUGUAGGCAGCUUUAAUAAAUUAAAGAUUGAAUCAAAUAGAAGUUAAGAGAAUUCCUAGAUUAGGGUUGAUAUCUGUAUAAACUAGGAAGAAUACUAAAUAGCGAAGGCACUUUUCUAUCUAAUGAUUGACGCUGAGAAACGAAGGGGAGGAUCGAAAACAGGAUUAGAUACCCUAAUAUCCCUCUCUGUAAACGAUGAAUGGUAGUUGCUAGUAGUAAUAAUUAGUGACGAUGCUAACGCGUUAACCAUUCCGCCUUGUGAGUACGACUGCAAAGUUGAAAACAAAAAAAUUAGUCGGUUUCGGAGCAA